This is a non-coding RNA of Flavobacterium sp. LM5, 76 nucleotides long. NCBI's taxonomy places the organism in Bacteria, Pseudomonadati, Bacteroidota, Flavobacteriia, Flavobacteriales, Flavobacteriaceae. The record is from Rfam.
UUUUAGCCCUGAUGGGAGUGGCAUCCUUUGCCGCCAGGGUUCAGCGGGAAAGAUAGAACGGACAGCAGGAGGAGUC